UUCCAGUGUGUUGAUGGCUUUGAAUCUA
This 28-nucleotide non-coding RNA is filed under the name Macaca fascicularis (crab-eating macaque). RNAcentral also lists the same sequence under 1 other name. Lineage: Eukaryota; Metazoa; Chordata; Mammalia; Primates; Cercopithecidae. The record is from RNAcentral.